UACGGAGGGUGCAAGCGUUAUCCGGAUUCACUGGGUUUAAAGGGUGCGUAGGUGGGCUAGUAAGUCCGUGGUGAAAUCUCUGAGCUUAACUCGGAAACUGCCGUGGAUACUAUUAGUCUUGAAUCUCGUGGAGGUAAGCGGAAUAUGUCAUGUAGCGGUGAAAUGCUUAGAUAUGACAUAGAACACCGAUAGCGAAGGCAGUCCGCCAAACCAUUACUGACACUGAAACACGAAAGUGCGGGGAUCAAACAGG
Molecule: ribosomal RNA, 253 nt
Filed under: uncultured prokaryote
Description: partial 16S ribosomal RNA
Rfam family: Bacterial small subunit ribosomal RNA
Source: RNAcentral